Non-coding RNA from Danionella cerebrum, 71 nucleotides. Lineage: Eukaryota; Metazoa; Chordata; Actinopteri; Cypriniformes; Danionidae. The record is from the annotation of a GenBank genome assembly.
UUUCCUGUGGCUCAAUUGAUAGAGCAUUCCGCUAGCAACGCAAAGGUCAUGGGUUCAAACUCCAGGGAAAG